RNAcentral lists this ribosomal RNA (500 nucleotides) under uncultured bacterium. RNAcentral describes it as "partial 16S ribosomal RNA". It matches the Rfam family "Bacterial small subunit ribosomal RNA", at positions 28 to 523 of the family's 1533-position model. The record is from RNAcentral.
GAUGAACGCUGGCGGCGUGCCUAACACAUGCAAGUCGAGCGAGAUAAAUGUGAGUGGAGACUUCGGUCAAAGCAAUCAUUUUGAAAGCGGCGGACGGGUGAGUAACGCGUGAGCAAUCUGCCCCAUACAAAGGGAUACCCACUGGAAACGGUGAUUAAUACCUUAUAAGACCACGAAGUCGCCUGGCUUAGUGGCCAAAGAUUUAUCGGUAUGGGAUGAGCUCGCGUCUGAUUAGCUAGUUGGUGAGGUAAUGGCUCACCAAGGCGACGAUCAGUAGCCGACCUGAGAGGGUGAACGGCCACACUGGAACUGAGACACGGUCCAGACUCCUACGGGAGGCAGCAGUGGGGAAUAUUGCACAAUGGGCGCAAGUCUGAUGCAGCAACGCCGCGUGAAUGAUGAAGGCCUUCGGGUCGUAAAGUUCUGUCCUAAGGGAAGAAUACAGUGACGGUACCUUAGGAGGAAGCCCCGGCUAACUACGUGCCAGCAGCCGCCGGUAA